GGCUAGAGCUGCUAAGAAACACCCUAAGACUGAAAGCAAAUCAGCCGGCAGCUUCAGCUCCUUCGCAAGCUGCUAGCUGCUCUCUUCGGAGUCAAUGUAAAGUCAUCAGAGUUCGACUGUGGACCGCAAGCUUCUCAGCCCUUCAGUCCCAGGGAUGGCCUGGGAUGUAAACACACACGAAGGUUUAUUCCUUUGGCCAGGAGGAAUUAGGGUAGGGAGUCGUUAGGGUAAAGGGUAAAGGUCAAGGGGGCUCGGAUGGGUGACUGAGGAGCCCACGGAAAGCUGGCAGAAGCCGAGUCUUCUAGAGCUGGGCUUUUGGCUCCGAAUCCUGCAGGCUUCCCACUUUACACAGACCUUUCAUCCCCUUCCUCCUUCUUCCUCCCUUGGGUCUCUCGCUCCCUCCAUCCCCACUUGCUUCCACGCCCAGGUGGGGGCUGCCUACUGAGGGUGGCCCAGGGGGUUUGCAGCUGGGGAGGUUGUCACCAAGGGUGGGCCGCCCGGGAGACGUGAGGCGAGGCAGCGAGCCCCGGCAUUUUCCUUUCCCCAGCACCUGUCCCACUUCGGCGCCGGGGCUGGGGCCGCUCCCGCGGGCGGCCUCGGAGCCUGAGCGCCAGAACCACGCACUGAGGUUGCCCAGGGUGGGGAAGUAGGGGGCCGGGAGAGGGGCGGGGCGUCCAGCCACCGCACGCAAGACCCUUCGCGUCCCCCCAACAUACACUGAGGCUAAACAGGGGGAAGAGAGUCACACAGAACACGGGCGAAAACGCUCGCUAUCCGACUCCAACGGCGCGUUGUUCGACCCCUCUUCCUGGAGCGGGGGGCUGGCCAAGGAAGGUGGCUUCGUUCUUCCCCCGUGGCCAGUGCGGGGUCUGCGGCUGACUGGCGAGGUUCCGGCUUCCCCGGGGCUGGCAGGGGGAGCCCCGAGAACUGCAGGCCCGCCCCCCCUUCCUCCUCCUUCUUCCCCUCCUCCCCCACGUGUCCUCCCGGAGCCCAGCGGCCUGAUCCCAGCACCCCCCCGCCACCUCCCUCCUCCUGCUUCGCCCGCUUCCCCGGCGGCGUGGAGAAGAGCAAAGUUGCAGCAGUGGCAGGGGGCUCUGCUCAGGGUCGGCUUGGCGAAGGACGGCUAGCCUCGGAGGGAAAGUAGACACCAGUUCAACUCAGGUCGCCCCCACCAUUACUUCGGUGAGGGGGCAACGCUAAGAAGGGGAUACUGGUGG
Molecule: long non-coding RNA, 1217 nt
Filed under: Callithrix jacchus (white-tufted-ear marmoset)
Lineage: Eukaryota; Metazoa; Chordata; Mammalia; Primates; Cebidae
Description: lncRNA (ENSCJAG00000083030.1)
Source: RNAcentral